UACGGAGGGUGCAAGCGUUAUCCGGAUUCACUGGGUUUAAAGGGUACGUAGGCGGUGGAGUAAGUCAGUGGUGAAAGCCAACAGCUCAACUGUUGAACUGCCAUUGAUACUGCUUCACUUGAGUGCAGUUGAGGUGGGUGGAAUUCCAUGUGUAACGGUGAAAUGCUUAGAUAUAUGGAGGAACACCGAUAACGAAGGUAACUCACUAAACUGUAACUGACGCUGAGGUACGAAAGCGUGGGGAGCAAACGGG
This 253-nucleotide ribosomal RNA is filed under the name uncultured bacterium. RNAcentral describes it as "partial 16S ribosomal RNA". It matches the Rfam family "Bacterial small subunit ribosomal RNA", at positions 524 to 776 of the family's 1533-position model. The record is from RNAcentral.